Octopus bimaculoides (California two-spot octopus) is the source of this 1436-nucleotide long non-coding RNA. Lineage: Eukaryota; Metazoa; Mollusca; Cephalopoda; Octopoda; Octopodidae. The record is from RefSeq and is a predicted model, not a curated record.
ACUCGAAUGUGGAAUCUAAAAACAGAAACAAUUCCUAUCAUAGUAGGUGCCUUAGGUAUAAUAAAAAAAUAUUCAGACAAAUACAUAACAAAAACACCAGGACUUACAAAUAUAUAUAACAUACAGAAAAUUGCACUACUGGGUACUGCACACAUUCUACGCAAAACACUUUCAAUACAGUAAACAUAAGAGCACCACAGCAAACCACAGCACAUACCCAAGGCGCACAGAGCUGCGCUCGGUAGUGAAGUGAAAGCACGUUAUAAAAAUAAAACUACUGAAUAAUAAUAAUAAUAAUGAAAGUAACAACAUUGUAUAUCAUUACUUUGUAGAUCAUUGUUUUACCAAUAUUUCUUUUUAUUAAUUAUUAUUAUUUAUUUAUUGCUAGGUUGUAAAUGUCAUUUGCUGUUUCAGUUAUAAAAAUCACAAGGGGACCAUGAUACAGCAUCACCAAUUUUGGCUUUUGGUUUGUACUCUUAACCGUACAUGUGUGAUUCUCUGCUUUCUACAUAGCCAUCAUCAACCAGCCGCUAGAAGCUCUCCCUGUGUUAAGGGGUUGGAUUGCCACAGACUCUACAGUUUCCUCUGUGUUGUACUGCAUCUGUACAAGUAAUUAGGCUUUUGUUUCUAGUCCACUUUUGAUGUUGUCAGUUCACAAUCAUCGUUGACAAGCUCUUGGUAUUUUCCUCUCCCCAGUUCCUGUCAGAAAUGCCUUUGGCAAUGACUUAAAGCAUAUGGAAUAUCCAAAAUAUGACAGCUUGUGGGCUUGGUUCUUGACAAUAGGUAUUUUUGGACUUUCCACUUUUCUAGUACUGCAGCAUUUGUUACCUUGUCUUUCCAGCAUAUCCUACCCAAUCAGCAAAAGAUUCACAGCUAGGCUUCUAUCUUCUCCAUUGCUAUAUACAUUGCCCAAGUUUCUAACAGACAGAAGAAAAUUGCAUUUUACUGAAAUUUUGUGGUCAAAACCAAUGAACUGAAUUUAAAAAUUUGAAAUGAACCAAUUUUCUACAGAACCCUUUGACCACGCUGAGAGUUCUUUUUUAUUAAUAAAACAGACGAGAAAAAGAAAUCACUUAAUCAGUCAAAGUUGGCUGCUCCUGGAGGAUAUUCUGGACUCUGGAUUAAACCUCCCCAUCUAUCAUUGACUAAUUCAGUGUUGCUGCAAUCUACAAAAGAAUCCAUUUUAGUGGUGACAGAUAAAGGGUGAAAGUUUGAAAAAGUUUCCCAUUGGAUGUAUUGAAGAAGGAAUGCACUGAGUAAUUAAUGAAUAUUAUCAGCUCAGUACUAAAUUAAUUCUAGAGUUGGAUAUAUGUUGGUGUUUAGUGUUAGGCCAGACAGGAUUGAGCAAGCCUACACUUAAAGCAUUUCUAUGGAUGUGAGUGUCACAGCUUUUUAAAAUUUAAUGUACAUAAAAAUGCUUCUCAACAUCCAAACAA